AUCCAGUUGACGAGUCCCAAAUAGGACGAAAUGCGCGUCCUAGAU
This 45-nucleotide non-coding RNA is filed under the name Schistosoma mansoni. The record is from RNAcentral. Lineage: Eukaryota; Metazoa; Platyhelminthes; Trematoda; Strigeidida; Schistosomatidae. RNAcentral also lists the same sequence under 1 other name.